Molecule: ribosomal RNA, 468 nt
Filed under: uncultured bacterium
Lineage: Bacteria
Description: partial 16S ribosomal RNA
Rfam family: Bacterial small subunit ribosomal RNA
Source: RNAcentral
GACGAACGCUGGCGGCGUGCUUAACACAUGCAAGUCGAACGGAAAGGCCCGGCUUUUGUGGGGUGCUCGAGUGGCGAACGGGUGAGUAACACGUGAGUAACCUGCCCUUGACUUUGGGAUAACUUCAGGGAACUGGGGCUAAUACCGGAUAGGAGCUCCUGCUGCAUGGUGGGGGUGGGAAAGUUACGGCGGUUGGGACGGGUCUCGCGGCUCUUAAGCUGGGUGGUGGGGUAGUGGCGUACCAAGGCUUUGAAGGGUAGCCGGCCUGAGAGGGUGACCGGCCACAUUGGGACUGAGAUACGGGCCAGACUCCUACGGGAGGCAGCAGUGGGGAAUAUUGCACGAUGGGCGGAAGCCUGAUGCAGCAACGCCGCGUGCGGGAUGACGGCCUUCGGGUUGUAAACCGCUUUCGCCUGUGACGAAGCGUGAGUGACGGUAAUGGGUAAAGAAGCACCGGCUAACUACGUG